RNAcentral lists this ribosomal RNA (467 nucleotides) under uncultured bacterium. Its description in RNAcentral is "partial 16S ribosomal RNA". It matches the Rfam family "Bacterial small subunit ribosomal RNA", at positions 28 to 506 of the family's 1533-position model. The record is from RNAcentral.
GACGAACGCUGGCGGCGUGCUUAACACAUGCAAGUCGAACGGAAAGGCCCUGCUUUUGUGGGGUGCUCGAGUGGCGAACGGGUGAGUAACACGUGAGUAACCUGCCCUUGACUUUGGGAUAACUUCAGGAAACUGGGGCUAAUACCGGAUAGGAGCUCCUGCUGCAUGGUGGGGGUUGGAAAGUUUCGGCGGUUGGGGAUGGACUCGCGGCUUAUCAGCUUGUUGGUGGGGUAGUGGCUUACCAAGGCUUUGACGGGUAGCCGGCCUGAGAGGGUGACCGGCCACAUUGGGACUGAGAUACGGCCCAGACUCCUACGGGAGGCAGCAGUGGGGAAUAUUGCACAAUGGGCGGAAGCCUGAUGCAGCAACGCCGCAUGCGGGAUGACGGCCUUCGGGUUGUAAACCGCUUUCGCCUGUGACGAAGCGUGAGUGACGGUAAUGGGUAAAGAAACACCGGCUAACUACGU